GAUGAACGCUAGCGGCGUGCCUAAUACAUGCAAGUCGAGCGAACAGACGAGGAGCUUGCUCCUCUGACGUUAGCGGCGGACGGGUGAGUAACACGUGGAUAACCUACCUAUAAGACUGGGAUAACUUCGGGAAACCGGAGCUAAUACCGGAUAAUAUAUUGAACCGCAUGGUUCAAUAGUGAAAGACGGUUUUGCUGUCACUUAUAGAUGGAUCCGCGCCGCAUUAGCUAGUUGGUAAGGUAACGGCUUACCAAGGCAACGAUGCGUAGCCGACCUGAGAGGGUGAUCGGCCACACUGGAACUGAGACACGGUCCAGACUCCUAUGGGAGGCAGCAGUAGGGAAUCUUCCGCAAUGGGCGAAAGCCUGACGGAGCAACGCCGCGUGAGUGAUGAAGGUCUUCGGAUCGUAAAACUCUGUUAUUAGGGAAGAACAAAUGUGUAAGUAACUAUGCACGUCUUGACGGUACCUAAUCAGAAAGCCACGGCUAACUACGU
This 496-nucleotide ribosomal RNA is filed under the name uncultured bacterium. Its description in RNAcentral is "partial 16S ribosomal RNA". It matches the Rfam family "Bacterial small subunit ribosomal RNA", at positions 28 to 506 of the family's 1533-position model. The record is from RNAcentral.